This 497-nucleotide ribosomal RNA is filed under the name uncultured bacterium. Its description in RNAcentral is "partial 16S ribosomal RNA". It matches the Rfam family "Bacterial small subunit ribosomal RNA", at positions 28 to 507 of the family's 1533-position model. The record is from RNAcentral.
GAUGAACGCUGGCGGCGUGCCUAAUACAUUCAAGUCGAGCUAUCAGACCAGGUGCUUUCUCCUCUGACGUUAGCGUCUGACGGGCUAGUAACACGUGGAUAACCUACCUUUUAGACUUUGAUAACUUCGGGAAACCGUAUCUAUUCCCGGUUAAUAUAUUGCACCGCAUGGUUCAAUAUUGUAAGACGUUUUUUCUGUCACUUAUUGAUGUAUCCGCGCCGAAUUAGCUAGUUGGUAAGGUAACGGCUUACCAAGGCAACGAUUCAUAGCCGACCUGAGAGGGUGAUCAGCAACACUGGAAAAGAGACACGGACCAGACUCCUAAGGGAGGCAGCAGUAGGGAAACUUCCGCAAUGGGCGAAAGACGGACGGAGCAACGACGCGUGAGUGAUGAAGGUAUUCGGAUCGGAAAACUCUGUUAUUAGGGAAGAAGAAAUGAGAAAGAAACAAUGCACGUCUUGACGGUAAAUAAUCAGAAAGACACGGCUAACUACGUG